CCUACGGGUGGCAGCAGUGAGGAAUAUUGGUCAAUGGGCUUACGCCUGAACCAGCCAAGUCGCGUGAGGGAAGACUGCCCUAUGGGUUGUAAACCUCUUUUGUCAGGGAGCAAUUGGCGCUACGUGUAGCGUUAUCGAGAGUACCUGAAUAAAAAGCAUCGGCUAACUCCGUGCCGGCAGCCGCGGUAAUACGGAGGUUGCGAGCGUGAUCCGGUUUUAUUGGGUUUACAGGGUGCGUAGGCGGACUGUCACGUAAGCGGUAAAAUCGCGGGGCAAAACCUCGCUCCGCCGUUGAAACUGGCGAUCUUGAGUGGGCGAGAGGUAUGCGGAAUGCGUGGUGUAGCGGUGAAAUGCAUAGAUAUCACGCAGAACUCCGAUUGCGAAGGCAGCAUACCGGCGCGCAACUGACGCUGAGGCACGAAAGCGUGGGUAUCGAACAGGAUUAGAUACCCCUGUAGUC
This 460-nucleotide ribosomal RNA is filed under the name uncultured bacterium. RNAcentral's name for it is "partial 16S ribosomal RNA". It matches the Rfam family "Bacterial small subunit ribosomal RNA", at positions 338 to 795 of the family's 1533-position model. The record is from RNAcentral.